RNAcentral lists this ribosomal RNA (114 nucleotides) under Paramormyrops kingsleyae. The record is from RNAcentral. Lineage: Eukaryota; Metazoa; Chordata; Actinopteri; Osteoglossiformes; Mormyridae.
GUCAGUAGCCAUACAACCUGCAACUCAGAGGAAGUAAUCUACCUGAAGCUAAGCAGGUUGGGGCCUGGCCAGUACUUGGAUGGGGGACCAACUCAGAAAGCUGGGUUGCUGAGG